Molecule: ribosomal RNA, 703 nt
Filed under: uncultured fungus
Lineage: Eukaryota; Fungi
Description: SSU rRNA
Rfam family: Eukaryotic small subunit ribosomal RNA
Source: RNAcentral
GAGCCUGAGAAACGGCUACCACAUCCAAGGAUGGCAGCAGGCGCGCAAAUUACCCAAUCCCGACACGGGGAGGUAGUGACAAUAAAUAACAAUACGGGGUUCUUUAGGAUCUCGUAAUUGGAAUGAGUACAAUUUAAAUCUCUUAACGAGGAACAAUUGGAGGGCAAGUCUGGUGCCAGCAGCCGCGGUAAUUCCAGCUCCAAUAGCGUAUAUUAAAGUUGUUGCAGUUAAAAAGCUCGUAGUUGAAUUUCGGGGUUAGUAGGUUGGUCAUGCCUCUGGUAUGUACUGGUCUCACUGAUUCCUCCUUCCUUAUGAACCGUAAUGCCAUUAAUUUGGUGUUGCGGGGAAUUUGGACUGUUACUUUGAAAAAAUUAGAGUGUUUAAAGCAAGCUAACGCUUGAAUACAUUAGCAUGGAAUAAUGAAAUAGGACGUUCGAUCUUAUUUUGUUGGUUUCUAGGAUUGACGUAAUGAUUAAUAGGGAUAGUUGGGGGCAUUAGUAUUCAAUUGUCAGAGGUGAAAUUCUUGGAUUUAUUGAAGACUAACUACUGCGAAAGCAUUUGCCAAGGAUGUUUUCAUUAAUCAAGAACGAAAGUUAGGGGAUCGAAGACGAUCAGAUACCGUCGUAGUCUUAACCAUAAACUAUGCCGACUAGGGAUCGGAUGAUGUUAAUUUUUUAAUGACUCAUUCGGCGCCUUACGGGAA